UAGCAUCACAAAUAACUGGUUACGAACACACACAAACAUGAAAUACCGACUUUCACGAAAUCGACUCAAGAAUUAGCAAACCAAAUAAAAAAGAUUCAAAACCCACACCUGAUUCACGAUCAAUGACGUCUAGACACCGACUCGACGACAAGGGAGCAAAGCUCUCCAAAAUCCGCAAGCAAAACUGCUUCCCAAAAAAAGAAAAAGAAAAAGAAAAAAAAAGCAAACAAAGGAGAGGGAGAGGGAGAAAGUGAAAAAAAAGAGCAAUAAAAACUAGAAAACAAAAUUAAUAAAAUAACACUAAAUAAAGGAAAUAAUUAUCCAAAAUUUUAAAACCAAAACAAAAAUAAUCCCUCAAAACACUCCUGGUGACUCGAACCCAGAACCUCAAACUAAACUAAUGCACAACUAACCAC
Molecule: long non-coding RNA, 416 nt
Filed under: Gossypium raimondii (Peruvian cotton)
Lineage: Eukaryota; Viridiplantae; Streptophyta; Magnoliopsida; Malvales; Malvaceae
Description: long non-coding RNA (GRAI_LNC008160)
Source: RNAcentral